This is a non-coding RNA of Cinara cedri, 265 nucleotides long. The record is from the annotation of a GenBank genome assembly. Lineage: Eukaryota; Metazoa; Arthropoda; Insecta; Hemiptera; Aphididae.
CACCGUGUCAGUCGGUAGUUCGCUUGAGCGUAUAAUAUGGAGGACACAGAGUUCGAAAAAUAAAAAAUUAAAAAACGAUAAUAAUAAUAACAAAAAAAAACCGUCCAAUAUUUAUAUAAUCUCCCAACUCCGCGAUUUAUCGCGCCGAACAAUCGAUUUCCGAAUACGAGCGUAUUGGACGGCCUUACGAGUUGUGACGUGGGCGAAUGGCGGGCGAGUCAAUGAACGAUGUAAUCGACACGAGAUCGGCGGGCUGAAAUCGGAC